This 465-nucleotide ribosomal RNA is filed under the name uncultured bacterium. RNAcentral describes it as "partial 16S ribosomal RNA". It matches the Rfam family "Bacterial small subunit ribosomal RNA", at positions 28 to 507 of the family's 1533-position model. The record is from RNAcentral.
GAUGAACGCUGGCGGCGUGCUUAACACAUGCAAGUCGAACGGAAAGGCCCAAGCUUGCUUGGGUACUCGAGUGGCGAACGGGUGAGUAACACGUGGGUGAUCUGCCCUGCGCUUCGGGAUAAGCCUGGGAAACUGGGUCUAAUACCGGAUAGGACCACAUUUUGGAUGGUGUGGUGGAAAGUUUUUCGGUGUGGGAUGAGCUCGCGGCCUAUCAGCUUGUUGGUGGGGUAAUGGCCUACCAAGGCGUCGACGGGUAGCCGGCCUGAGAGGGUGUACGGCCACAUUGGGACUGAGAUACGGCCCAGACUCCUACGGGAGGCAGCAGUGGGGAAUAUUGCACAAUGGGCGCAAGCCUGAUGCAGCGACGCCGCGUGGGGGAUGACGGCCUUCGGGUUGUAAACUCCUUUCGCUAGGGACGAAGCGCAAGUGACGGUACCUGGAGAAGAAGCACCGGCUAACUACGUG